UGGCUCAGGACGAACGCUGGCGGCGUGCUUAACACAUGCAAGUCGAACGAGAAUCUGCUGAAAGAGUCUUCGGACAAUGGAUGUAGAGGAAAGUGGCGGACGGGUGAGUAACGCGUGAGGAACCUGCCUUGAAGAGGGGGACAACAGUUGGAAACGACUGCUAAUACCGCAUGAUGCAUAAGGGUCGCAUGAUUCUUAUGCCAAAGAUUUAUCGCUUCAAGAUGGCCUCGCGU
This 233-nucleotide ribosomal RNA is filed under the name uncultured bacterium. RNAcentral describes it as "partial 16S ribosomal RNA". It matches the Rfam family "Bacterial small subunit ribosomal RNA", at positions 20 to 236 of the family's 1533-position model. The record is from RNAcentral.